Long non-coding RNA from Schistocerca gregaria, 345 nucleotides. RefSeq lists it as uncharacterized. The record is from RefSeq and is a predicted model, not a curated record. The transcript has 2 exons. Lineage: Eukaryota; Metazoa; Arthropoda; Insecta; Orthoptera; Acrididae.
AGGUAAAUCUUAUGCAAUAUGUCAAACAAAAUGCGAGUCGAGAUUUCCACAUCAGUUCAAAAAAGCUGUGCAAGGCACUUGAUCAGCAGCAUAAGGAUGGAGAUAAUGACACAAGCGUAACAACAGCUGAUGACAGUAGAAGAGAUGGAGACGAUGGCAUUCCAAUGUCUGCUGCUGAGGAAAGACAUCCCCCAUCAAAAAAACAACGCACUAAAUAAAACAGUGGGGUUUUAUGUGCUAUUACAUUUCAGUUAAUUUUUCUAUAUUGUAUUUCUUUUAUCAAGUUAGAUAAGUUGUUAAGUUGUUCUUCACUGCACUGUAUUGUAAAUAAAUUUGUACAAACAA